RNAcentral lists this ribosomal RNA (510 nucleotides) under uncultured bacterium. RNAcentral's name for it is "bacterial SSU rRNA". It matches the Rfam family "Bacterial small subunit ribosomal RNA", at positions 8 to 507 of the family's 1533-position model. The record is from RNAcentral.
AGAGUUUGAUCAUGGCUCAGAGUGAACGCUGGCGGCAGGCCUAAUACAUGCAAGUCGAACGGCAGCACAGCAGAGCUUGCUCUGUGGGUGGCGAGUGGCGGACGGGUGAGGAAUACGUGGGAAUCUGCCCAGUCGUGGGGGAUAACGUAGGGAAACUUACGCUAAUACCGCAUGCGCCCUUCGGGGGAAAGCCGGGGACCUUCGGGCCUGGCGCGAUUGGAUGAGCCCACGUCGGAUUAGCUAGUUGGCGGGGUAAAGGCCCACCAAGGCGACGAUCCGUAGCUGGUCUGAGAGGAUGAUCAGCCACACUGGAACUGAGACACGGUCCAGACUCCUACGGGAGGCAGCAGUAGGGAAUAUUGGACAAUGGGCGCAAGCCUGAUCCAGCCAUGCCGCGUGAGUGAAGAGGGCCCUCGGGUUGUAAAGCUCUUUUGUCCGGAAAGAAAAGCGCCGGGUUAAUACCCUGGUGUCCUGACGGUACCGGAAGAAUAAGCACCGGCUAACUUCGUG